This 399-nucleotide ribosomal RNA is filed under the name Triticum aestivum (bread wheat). Its description in RNAcentral is "partial small subunit ribosomal RNA". Lineage: Eukaryota; Viridiplantae; Streptophyta; Magnoliopsida; Poales; Poaceae. The record is from RNAcentral.
AUGCGCGUCGGGAAUGGUUCCAAGGUCGAUGUGAUCGCCAUCGGCACGCUACUUCUACAUCUACCUUCGGGAUUAGUUUUAGACCUAAAUAAUUGUUAUCUGGUGCCAGCGUUGAGCAUGAACAUUAUAUCUGGAUCUUGUUUAGUGCGACACGGUUAUUCAUUUAAAUUAGAGAAUAAUGGUUGUUCUAUUUAUAUGAGUAAUAUCUUUUAUGGUCAUGCACCCGUGAAGAGUGGUCUAUUUUUGUUGAAGCUCGAUUGUGGUGAUACACACAUUCAUAAUAUUGAUGCCAAAAGAUGCAAAGUUGAUAAUGAUAGUGCAACAUAUUUGUGGCACUGCCAUUUAGGACAUAUUAGUGUAAAGCGCAUGAAGAAACUACAUUCAGAUGGACUCAUGUAA